GUCAGGAUGGCCAAGCGGUCUAAGGUGCCAGACUCAAGUUCUGGUCCACUAAUGUGGGCGUGGGUUCGAAUCCCACUUCUGACA
This 84-nucleotide transfer RNA is filed under the name Octopus sinensis (East Asian common octopus). RNAcentral describes it as "tRNA-Leu". It matches the Rfam family "tRNA". From Rfam's summary of the family: Transfer RNA (tRNA) molecules are approximately 80 nucleotides in length. Their secondary structure includes four short double-helical elements and three loops (D, anti-codon, and T loops). Further hydrogen bonds mediate the characteristic L-shaped molecular structure. tRNAs have two regions of fundamental functional importance: the anti-codon, which is responsible for specific mRNA codon recognition, and the 3' end, to which the tRNAs corresponding amino acid is attached (by aminoacyl-tRNA synthetases). tRNAs cope with the degeneracy of the genetic code in two manners: having more than one tRNA (with a specific anti-codon) for a particular amino acid; and 'wobble' base-pairing, i.e. permitting non-standard base-pairing at the 3rd anti-codon position. Lineage: Eukaryota; Metazoa; Mollusca; Cephalopoda; Octopoda; Octopodidae. The record is from RNAcentral.